Molecule: ribosomal RNA, 253 nt
Filed under: uncultured bacterium
Lineage: Bacteria
Description: partial 16S ribosomal RNA
Rfam family: Bacterial small subunit ribosomal RNA
Source: RNAcentral
CACGGGGGGAGCAAGCGUUGUUCGGAUUCAUUGGGCGUAAAGGGCUCGUAGGGGGCUUUGUAAGUCGGAGGUGAAAUCCCACGGCUCAACCGUGGACACGCCUUCGAAACUGUGAAGCUUGAGGCUGGGAGAGGAGAUCGGAAUUCCUGGUGUAGCGGUGGAAUGCGCAGAUAUCAGGAGGAACACCGAUGGCGAAGGCAGGUCUCUGGGCAGUUACUGACGCUGAGGAGCGAAAGCAUGGGGAGCGAACAGG